This is a small nuclear RNA of Ochotona princeps (American pika), 158 nucleotides long. Its record names the gene U2. It matches the Rfam family "U2 spliceosomal RNA". From Rfam's summary of the family: U2 is a small nuclear RNA (snRNA) component of the spliceosome (involved in pre-mRNA splicing). Complementary binding between U2 snRNA (in an area lying towards the 5' end but 3' to hairpin I) and the branchpoint sequence (BPS) of the intron results the bulging out of an unpaired adenosine, on the BPS, which initiates a nucleophilic attack at the intronic 5' splice site, thus starting the first of two transesterification reactions that mediate splicing. Lineage: Eukaryota; Metazoa; Chordata; Mammalia; Lagomorpha; Ochotonidae. The record is from Ensembl.
AUCGCUUCUUGGCCUUUUGGCUAAGAUCAUGUGCAGUAUCUGUUCUUAUCACGUUGAUGUCUGAUACAUCCUCUAUCUGAUUAUAAAAAGCAAAAGGAAACACUAACGCUGCCUGCUAGCAGUAACAAGUUAACCGGAUCUGGAGAUGCUGACACCGA